UGGGGAAUUUUGGACAAUGGGCGAAAGCCUGAUCCAGCAAUGCCGCGUGCAGGAAGAAGGCCUUCGGGUUGUAAACUGCUUUUGUACGGAACGAAAAGGCUCUUUCUAAUAAAGAGGGCCCAUGACGGUACCGUAAGAAUAAGCACCGGCUAACUACGUGCCAGCAGCCGCGGUAAUACGUAGGGUGCGAGCGUUAAUCGGAAUUACUGGGCGUAAAGCGUGCGCAGGCGGCGUGGUAAGUCACUUGUGAAAUCUCCGAGCUUAACUCGGAACGGUCAAGUGAUACUGCUGUGCUAGAGUACAGAAGGGGCAAUCGGAAUUCUUGGUGUAGCGGUGAAAUGCGUAGAUAUCAAGAGGAACACCUGAGGUGAAGACGGGUUGCUGGGCUGAUACUGACGCUGAGGCGCGAAAGCUAGGGUAGCAAACGGGAUUAGAUACCCACGUAGUCCCUGAGCGGGCUGGCAAG
Molecule: ribosomal RNA, 466 nt
Filed under: uncultured bacterium
Lineage: Bacteria
Description: bacterial SSU rRNA
Rfam family: Bacterial small subunit ribosomal RNA
Source: RNAcentral